UUGACCUCAAAUCAGGUAGGAUUACCCGCUGAACUUAAGCAUACAAGG
RNAcentral lists this ribosomal RNA (48 nucleotides) under Gloeophyllum sepiarium. RNAcentral describes it as "partial 28S large subunit ribosomal RNA". Lineage: Eukaryota; Fungi; Basidiomycota; Agaricomycetes; Gloeophyllales; Gloeophyllaceae. The record is from RNAcentral.